AUGAGGAGAGAUCAGCUGCCGCAGGUGAGAGACAGACUGACCCACACGGAGGUGCUGAACCGACGUCUGAAGGAGGAUAUCAAUUUUAUGAGGAAACGCGGGCCGCUCGUGCACGAGAGACUCCAGCUGGAAAGUGAAAUCAUCAAGCAGGUCCAAACAGCACAAAGUGAGGCCAGUGAGACGUUUUCAAACAUCUCUCAGAAGCUAAAGAGUCUUCAGGAGAAGUUUAAAAAUGAGGAAUUCAGAGCAGACCUUAGGAAAGGAGAAAUGAACAAAGAAAUGGAAACGAUCAGAAAUCAUCUGAGUGACAAGCAGUCAGAACAUUAA
RNAcentral lists this long non-coding RNA (327 nucleotides) under Sinocyclocheilus anshuiensis. RNAcentral describes it as "lncRNA (ENSSANG00000018456.1)". The record is from RNAcentral. Lineage: Eukaryota; Metazoa; Chordata; Actinopteri; Cypriniformes; Cyprinidae.